Long non-coding RNA from Sander lucioperca (pikeperch), 883 nucleotides. RefSeq lists it as uncharacterized. Lineage: Eukaryota; Metazoa; Chordata; Actinopteri; Perciformes; Percidae. The record is from RefSeq and is a predicted model, not a curated record. The transcript has 2 exons.
GUAAAUUGUCACAUAUGGUUUUAAUUUGCUAAUGUUUACUUGCUGAAGUAGAAAUAUUUAUUUGUUUCUGUUAAUUUCAGUGUUUUCACAACUGUCUGAUCAAUGAUAUUGAUUUUUCAGAACACACAGCUGUUUAGAGGAUGAAUAUAGUAUUGAUCCUUUAUUGGCUGACAUGAUGAUGAUCCACAAUGACAAAAUCUCUCUACUCAUUUUAGGGAAAAUGUCAUUGAUUAGGACAUAGUAAUGUUGAGCUACACAUUUAAAACAUCAACACAUCUGAUUGGAUUAUAAAUAGAUUUUUAUCUUCUUUUAUUCUUUAUUCAGAUUGAGGUGGUGCGGUUUGUCAGAGAUCAGCUGUGCUGCUCUGGUCUCAGCUCUGAAGUCCAACCCCUCCCAUCUGAAGAAGCUGGAGCUGGGUGGCAACAACCUGGAGGAGUCAGACGUGAAGCAGCUGUGUGAUCUGAAGGAGAGUCCAGACUGUAGACUGGAGACUCUGGAAUGGAAGUAUCCGUAAGAGUGAUCAGGAGGAGGAUGUUGGAGGAUCAGCUGAGUCCUGAUGAUCCGAGAGCUUGAAGCAGCAGCAUCACCUCUAACUGGGCCAUGUUACUGGGAGGUAGAGUGGAGAGACUGACUGAGGCUCUGCACGGUUCAUCAUUAGCAAUGACACGUGGUCAUGAAAGAAGUAUGUCGGGCAAGUUGAUUGGCCGACAUCAGCCUCUCCUGGUCAGUGACGGUGGCUCUGUCUCCAUCAGAAUCAGCUGACUCAGCAUACGUCAGACUACAGAGUGGAGCCAAGUGUGUAGAGCAUAUGUUUGCUAACAUUUCACAUUUUAACAUCAAUGGUAAACUUCACUGUCGUCGCUGCAGGACAGUCACCUGUUUG